Long non-coding RNA from Candoia aspera, 1675 nucleotides. RefSeq lists it as uncharacterized. The record is from RefSeq and is a predicted model, not a curated record. Lineage: Eukaryota; Metazoa; Chordata; Lepidosauria; Squamata; Candoiidae. The transcript is spliced from 3 exons.
UGUACCUUUGACUUCCAUAGAGUUACGGAAGGUGGGCAGCUGCCUGACUGGGCCACCCUCCAUCACACUGGGGAUGCUGGGAAUGGAUGAGAAGACUGGUGCAGGACUGGCCCGCCUGGAACAUUAUAAGGUAUCUAAUCAUACCAGGAACAGGAGAAGACUUCCUAGAAGAGGUCCCAGAAUCCAGCUACAGAGUUCAAACCAAGACUUACCCAUUCUGAAUGAUGAAAUCCACCAACGGAAGCGAAGUUUUGUUGGCGUAGCGUACAGCCCAAUGCAAGGCCUGUUCACCUUGUUCCUAUCAGAAAAAAAAGGAGCAACAUUUUGCAGAACUUUCUAUGGUAGAGGUCAACUCUGAAAAAAGAAAAUAGAAAAUUAACCCCAAAGACAUCUGAAUUACAUUACACCAAGGUGAUGUUAAAGGAUGCUUCAUACCUAUCAGCUGUGGGCUGCUGCCCUCUUAUGUUGUAAGAGAUCCAACCCUUAAUUGUCAAUUAUUUUGUCAAGAAUACCUAUGGUACAGUUGCCAUUAGCCAGAUAAAACCACGAAAAAAUAUUUUCCACACUCAUUGCAAAGUACCAGGAAACGCACAUGGGAAGUAACAACAGACAGAAUUAAUCAAAAUCCUAUGAUGGUUAUUUCCAGCAAUGGUAUAGGUCAACUAUGCCCCAAUACUUUGGAGCACCAACAUCCUUUGCUGUUUUCUUCCCAUCUUAAAUGGGAAAUCUAGUUCCUUCCUUCACACAUAAGUCUAAGAUUUAACUCCCUACCAAAAAUAUUUCAUGUUGCCUUGAUGGAGAAACACAAGGACAAGAGAGAAGGAGCAAUCAGGUCAGGACCACUUUCCUCCUUGGUUUAGUUCAGAAAAUAGGUUUAAUUCUAAAGCCAGAUUAACUGAAUACAAGUGCUAUGUUCCUAUUAUGCAUUGUACCCAGAUGAAGAAACCACAGCAUGGCUUGAUAUAACAACCUGGUUCACCCAGCAUGCUGAGUUCUCACCGGACCACAAAAUGCUCAACCUCAUUUUAGCCUAGUCUAACAUCCUGUGCAAACCCAACCUCCAAGUCAGAUAAAAAAGUGAUACGCAAGAGUGCCAAAAACAUCAGGCAAGUAUGCCAAGCUGCAAACCCAGAGGAAAAACAUGAACAAUAGAAAGCAUAAUGCCUUUUUUUUCCAGUUGCAGCAAUCCACCACCAAGGGUGUAAGUGGUAUAAACUGCUGGAGUCUUGUCUUUCCUCCUCCUUUUAAAGAAUCUAAGUUCAAAGUCUCCAUCAUUAGCGGGAGAGAGAGAAAAAGUGAUAGCUUUGAUAAUCCAACAGCCAUAUUUAAAACCCUGCCCAUGGACAUUCCAACAGUAGCAUGACAGGUAGGACUGGGUACAGAAGCUAAGGAAACCAAGGUAGGACUGGGUACAGAAGCUAAGGAAACCAAGUGCAGGAAACAAACUGCAUUGAGUUGGCAGCUGGCCAACCCAAUGGUUUAAAGCUGGCAUCAACAUCAAGGCACCCAUGGACUCCAAAGUGGCAUCUCUUACUUGUUUCUGCAUAAAAUAAAGUUUUUACAUUGUGAAAGAACCAAACUCGCAGAAGACUGUGGUCACUAUGGUGCCCAGGAACAAUAAAAUUUGCCUGGUUUCAAGAUGAAAACUUUUAUGUAGAUGAAUAAAUAAAUAAAA